RNAcentral lists this ribosomal RNA (253 nucleotides) under uncultured bacterium. RNAcentral describes it as "partial 16S ribosomal RNA". It matches the Rfam family "Bacterial small subunit ribosomal RNA", at positions 524 to 776 of the family's 1533-position model. The record is from RNAcentral.
UACGGGGGGGGCAAGCGUUGUUCGGAAUUACUGGGCGUAAAGGGCUCGUAGGCGGCCAACUAAGUCAGACGUGAAAUCCCUCGGCUUAACCGGGGAACUGCGUCUGAUACUGGACGGCUUGAGUUUGGGAGAGGGACGCGGAAUUCCAGGUGUAGCGGUGAAAUGCGUAGAUAUCUGGAGGAACACCGGUGGCGAAGGCGGCGUCCUGGACCAACACUGACACUGAGACGCGAAAGCGUGGGUAGCAAACAGG